RNAcentral lists this ribosomal RNA (497 nucleotides) under uncultured bacterium. Its description in RNAcentral is "partial 16S ribosomal RNA". It matches the Rfam family "Bacterial small subunit ribosomal RNA", at positions 28 to 507 of the family's 1533-position model. The record is from RNAcentral.
GAUGAACGCUGGCGGCGUGCCUAAUACAUGCAAGUCGAGCGAACGGACGAGAAGCUUGCUUCUCUGAUGUUAGCGGCGGACGGGUGAGUAACACGUGGAUAACCUACCUAUAAGACUGGGAUAACUUCGGGAAACCGUAGCUAAUACCGGAUAAUAUUUUGAACCGCAUGGUUCAAUAGUGAAAGACGGUCUUGCUGUCACUUAUAGAUGGAUCCGCGCUGCAUUAGCUAGUUGGUAAGGUAACGGCUUACCAAGGCAACGAUGCAUAGCCGACCUGAGAGGGUGAUCGGCCACACGGGAACUGAGACACGGUCCAGACUCCUACGGGAGGCAGCAGUAGGGAAUCUUCCGCAAUGGGCGAAAGCCUGACGGAGCAACGCCGCGUGAGUGAUGAAGGUCUUCGGAUCGUAAAACUCUGUUAUUAGGGAAGAACAUAUGUGUAAGUAACUGUGCACAUCUUGACGGUACCUAAUCAGAAAGCCACGGCUAACUACGUG